GCGCAAAGCGGCUUGGAAGUGGGCAGCCUGGAAGUCACUCGGGCCACCCGAGCUGGCGGCGUCUCUAGCGAACGGCGCGGGGCCGGACGCCGCGGUCGUGGGGCCCGCAGGGCGGGCAGCAGGGACGCCCAGCUGCACAGUCUUUGACAUCAGCUCUCCUGGGACCCUCAAGGAGCACUAGUGUCCGGAACAUACGGAGCGUUGUGACAUGGAGCCACCAUCACAGUAUGGUACAGAACAGUUCCACACUCCCCGUGUCUUCCUCCUGCUCUCCCCUUCCCCCAGCAGCCACCGACUGAUCUUGCUCAGAGACCGGGCCUCACGUCCACCUCCCCAGCGGGCAUGAGCUGUGCAAACGUGUGGCCCCGUGCGUCCUGUUUAUCGCUCCAUCUCUCAUACUCAGGCCACCACAUCUGACACACCGUAGUUGCACAGUAAAAAUGUGUGAAAUUAAUGUCUUCUCUGACUGGGGAGGGACUCGAACUUGAAGGAGACCUUGGAAUCAGAGAUUGUCACUCCAGAAGGUGACAAAAAUAUGUCAUAUGGACCUGAGCUUCUGUCCCCAGUGAGCAUCUUCCCUCCCCCCCAUCCAGGGGGAGGGAAUGAUCGGAAAUGUCACCCGGACAUCGGGUGCCCCCAAACUAACCAUUGUCCCCUGGCAGGACUGACAUGGCUUCCCCAUCUGUAAAAUGGGAUAAUGACAGUAUUGACCCUACAGAGCUGUCGUAUGGAGUCAAUGAGAUAAUGCUGUGAAACACCGUAGGUGUUAAUAAAUGUGAGCUGUUGUUAAAAGUAAUAAUAUCAUUACCAUUAUUCUGACUUCAUGGCACUCCCCAGCUGGUGGGGGAAAUAGAUAUCAAGUCAUCACUCAAAUAACCACGUAAUUUAACUGGCAGUUAAACUCGUAAGGAAAAGCCUGGGUGCCUUGAGAGAGUAACAGGGCAGGAGAUGAGGGUCUUAUUCGACGCAGGAGGGUGGGUCUGGGAGGGUCCGAGAAGACUUUUCCUGGAGAAGUGCCCUGCCAGCCUAGACUUGGAGGAUAAAGAGGAACUCCCCCAGGGGCGAGGUGUUUUGGGCAGAGAGAAUUGCUUGUACAGAGGUCCUGAGAUGCUGUGCCUCUGAAGCGUGUGGGAGGAACCCGGUGUGUGCCCUGAGUGGGGGCGGGGGGCUCCAGGUCAUCAGGCCUGUCAUGCUGGGCCUGGUGGUAAGAGAUUUGGACUUUCUUCUCAUGGCCCCUGGGAGCCAUGGAAGGGUUUUAAAGAGAGCAGUGAUACUGUUUGGUUUGGUUUGGUUUUUUAACUCCCGUGUGUGCUUUUAAGGCUCGGUGUCCCAUUCCUUCCCCUAGGACAGUUUGUACCGCCUGCUACAAGCCAGGGUCACAGGCAGGCGCUCCAGCCCUCCCCCAACAUGCAGUACCUUGACG
Ailuropoda melanoleuca (giant panda) is the source of this 1423-nucleotide long non-coding RNA. RefSeq lists it as uncharacterized. NCBI's taxonomy places the organism in Eukaryota, Metazoa, Chordata, Mammalia, Carnivora, Ursidae. The record is from RefSeq and is a predicted model, not a curated record. The transcript is spliced from 3 exons.